CAGUCGCCGCGGUAAUACGAAGGGGGCUAGCGUUGUUCGGAAUCACUGGGCGUAAAGCGCACGUAGGCGGACUUUUAAGUCAGGGGUGAAAUCCCAAGGCUCAACCUUGGAACUGCCUUUGAUACUGGAAGUCUUGAGCUCGGGAGAGGUGAGUGGAAUUCCGAGUGUAGAGGUGAAAUUCGUAGAUAUUCGGAAGAACACCAGUGGCGGAGGCGGCUCACUGGCUCAUACUGGACGCUGAGGUGCGAAAGCGUGGGGAGCAAACAGGAUUAGAUACCCCCGUAGUCCCUGUCUCUUAUAC
RNAcentral lists this ribosomal RNA (301 nucleotides) under uncultured bacterium. RNAcentral's name for it is "partial 16S ribosomal RNA". It matches the Rfam family "Bacterial small subunit ribosomal RNA", at positions 509 to 807 of the family's 1533-position model. The record is from RNAcentral.